This 253-nucleotide ribosomal RNA is filed under the name uncultured bacterium. Its description in RNAcentral is "partial 16S ribosomal RNA". It matches the Rfam family "Bacterial small subunit ribosomal RNA", at positions 524 to 776 of the family's 1533-position model. The record is from RNAcentral.
UACGUAGGGACCAAGCGUUGUCCGGAAUCAUUGGGCGUAAAGAGCGUGUAGGCGGCUUGUUAAGUCUUGCGUGAAAUCUCGGGGCUCAACCCCGAGCGGUCGUGAGAAACUGGCAGGCUAGAGUGCGGGAGAGGAGAGUGGAAUUCCUGGUGUAGCGGUGAAAUGCGCAGAUAUCAGGAAGAACACCCGUGGCGAAGGCGGCUCUCUGGAACGCAACUGACGCUGAGACGCGAAAGCGUGGGGAGCGAACGGG